GGGGAAGACAAAUGCUGUGGUAUAAAUUUGAUUUGAAGGCCCAUUUUUAGACGAUAAAAUUUUGAUAUCGUCCUUUUCAAACUGCUAAAAGACAAUAGAAUAGAAAAGAAAAAACAGUACAAAGAUUUUGGAAAUAUAUGGAUUUUUUUUAUUUCAGAAAUGCAGUCAGUGAUCAUUUUAUUUAAUUUUUGCUUUUCAUUCCCUUAAGCUUAUUGCAUCAAUUUGAUUCAUGUUCAGGGUAAAAAGGUCAGGGUCCCCACAUUUCUUGUCCCUGCAACC
This 279-nucleotide unclassified non-coding RNA is filed under the name Hevea brasiliensis (rubber tree). Lineage: Eukaryota; Viridiplantae; Streptophyta; Magnoliopsida; Malpighiales; Euphorbiaceae. The record is from RNAcentral.